Molecule: ribosomal RNA, 468 nt
Filed under: uncultured bacterium
Lineage: Bacteria
Description: partial 16S ribosomal RNA
Rfam family: Bacterial small subunit ribosomal RNA
Source: RNAcentral
GACGAACGCUGGCGGCGUGCUUAACACAUGCAAGUCGAACGGAAAGGCCCUGCUUUUGUGGGGUGCUCGAGUGGCGAACGGGUGAGUAACACGUGAGUAACCUGCCCUUGACUUUGGGAUAACUUCAGGAAACUGGGGCUAAUACCGGAUAGGAGCUCCUGCUGCAUGGUGGGGGUUGGAAAGUUUCGGCGGUUGGGGAUGGACUCGCGGCUUAUCAGCUUGUUGGUGGGGUAGUGGCUUACCAAGGCUUUGACGGGUAGCCGGCCUGAGAGGGUGACCGGCCACAUUGGGACUGAGAGACGGCCCAGACUCCUACGGGAGGCAGUAGUGGGAAAUAUUGCACAAUGGGCGGAAGCCUGAUGCAGCAACGCCGCGUGCGGGAUGACGGCCUUCGGGUUGUAAACCGCUUUCGCCUGUGACGAAGCGUGAGUGACGGUAAUGGGUAAAGAAGCACCGGCUAACUACGUG